Molecule: long non-coding RNA, 2385 nt
Filed under: Macaca fascicularis (crab-eating macaque)
Lineage: Eukaryota; Metazoa; Chordata; Mammalia; Primates; Cercopithecidae
Description: lncRNA (ENSMFAG00000059512.1)
Source: RNAcentral
UGCUGGAUAUUAGUUUGCGGGUUUAUUGCACAGGUGCACAUGAGUCAGGGGAACACGAGAUCGGCCAAGCCAGAGGCCCUGCAAUGUCACCACCCAGGUGUGAAGGAGCCAGGUGGAACCCAGGAGGAGCAGACGCCCUUGGCCAACACCCAGAGCUGGACCUCAGAAUCGCGCAGGGAGGGCAGGGAAGGGAGCCCCUGCCUCCUAUCCCCGAGCUCUGACCUGGGAAGUCCUGCAGGAAGCCCAUGCCGGGACACCCAGGCUAGCCCCCCCCAGGCAGAGAACAGAGCACAGGACGAGAGGGGGCCUGGGCCCGGCAGGCAGGGGCAAGGCAUGCUCUUUCCUCCAACAGGGAGGUUUCUAGGGAGUCAGCUGCCCCCAUUUCCAGCAGCAACCCCUAGCGUGGCUGGCGGGGUACUGGGUGUUCAGCCAAUCACAGGUAGGGAGCUCCUGGGAUGGGGGGGAACCAUCACGCCUCAACACGACCAGCACGAAACAGACGCAGCCUACACAGUGCUGUGGGAAUCAAGGCUCACAAACAUCCGCAGGACACACGCAGGGCCGGCCACUCCGGCAAACAAAGUCACCCCGAACCUCGCGGGGGCCGCACUCCCUCGGCAGGGGGACCACGGAGGCGACAGGUGCUGACACCUCCGAAGAGCUGAGCUCCAUUCCAGGGAGGGGCCAGGCCACGCUGCAGUCCUCCCGUUGGUCCGGUUCUGCAAUCACUAGAUGAAGCUCCGGCUAAAGUUCUGAAUCAGGAAUGAUGCAGCCAUGAAGUUACAGGCAUCCAGAAGGUCACCACACACCUCACCCCCUUCAGGGGCCUGCGUGGAGCCAGCCGAGGACUCAGGUCCAUUCCCCAGAAUGUCAGCACCUCCGCCUCCCGUCACCAAGAAGGGGCUUCAGAUGCCUCAUGGGGACCUACGAUGGCUUGAGCUUGACACAGGUCCUCCUAGCUGCUUGACAUGCUUUGGGACGCACUGGAAGGGUCUGUCAGGCCUGCUGAGGCCUCUUUUUGUCCCACCAGCCCUGCACCCACCUUCCUCCUGCUAGGGGCUGGGUCUUGGGUUAGAGAGUCACUUGAGGGCAGCCGGGCGCGGUGGCUCACGCCUGUAAUCCCAGCACUUUGCGAAGCCGAGAUGGGCGGAUCACGAGGUCAGGAGAUCCAGACCAUCCUGGCUAACACGGUGAAACCCCAUCUCUAUUAAAAAUACAAAAAAUUAGCCAGGUGUGGUGACGGGCGCCUGUAGUCCCAGCUACUCGGGAGGCUGAGGCAGGAGAAUGGUGUGAACCCGGGAGGCAGAGCUUGCAGGGAGCCAAGAUUGCGCCACUGCACUCCAGCCUGGGCGACAGAGCGAGACUCCAUCUCAAAAAAGAAAAAAAAAAGAAAGUCACUUGAGGGCUUCAGAAGCCGCUGACCCAGCUUGCAGCUCAAAAUGAGGACAAAGGUGCUUUCAUCCACCUUCACGGAGACGCUGGCUUCGCAGGCCGGUGGGCGAGGCGAGGCCCAUGUUUUACUUAGGACAGGUUUCCCAGGCAGUACCCAGGCCGUGUGGGGGCUCCCCAAACACAGGCUUAGGAUGGCAUUCUCCCCUCUCCGUUCCCACCCACCUAUCUGCCAGACACUGGGCUCGCCCUUGCUGUCCAUCCCAGCACUGAUGGACAGGACAGAGAUGCGUGGGGUCAGUGGCCCUGUGGCACUGGAAGGCACAUGCCACCAGAAAUGGGCUUCCUGUUGCAUAAAGACCAGAAAUGGCCUUGUAGUGAACUGGUGGAUGGGAAGAAAGGAGAGGCUGGCAUUUGCGGGUGCUGUUCCCACCACAGCCCUGAAGCUGGGGGCCCCCAACAAGGCUUGUCCCAGGCAGGGGGUCAGGGAUGGAUGGGACAUCUCUUGCUCGGGGACAGGGUCCUGCUUGGCUCAGACGGUGGGAAAACUUAAAAACACCUGUUUAUUCUGCCAGAAUUGAAAGAAAAAUUCCAGGAAGAACUUUUUAUUAAUAUAAAGUUUUAAGAUAUUGACCAGUCAGAUCUAAAUUACUAAUUAAACUCUGUUUUAAACAAAUGAACACACUGUGUUACAAUGAAAGGCAGGAAAGUGGUUUUAGACGCAGAUCGAAAACCAGUGUCUUCACGCACUGAGAACAGGAAACAUUCUGCUCUGAGAACGAAGUGCAGAGUCGACAGGAGACACACAUGCGACAGAAAGCCCCCAGCGGGAGUGACCGUGCACCCUGGCGGGUCGUGGGAUGCCCGGGCAGUGGUUUGGACACAGCUGCCACGCUACGAUGCCUGCUGGGCCCUGCAGGAACAGGGGACACACACAGAGCCCAGCCACGCAUUGCUGAGCAUGGCACAGGCCACACACACCGGCUCCUCCCACCU